Molecule: long non-coding RNA, 1043 nt
Filed under: Macaca mulatta (Rhesus monkey)
Lineage: Eukaryota; Metazoa; Chordata; Mammalia; Primates; Cercopithecidae
Description: lncRNA (ENSMMUG00000064495.1)
Source: RNAcentral
AUGUUUUCAAAUAUUUUCUUUUUAAAUGUAUUUUGUUAUUGAUUAUUUUAUUUAUUUAUUUAUUUAUUUAUAACCUCCCAUCAUAACUUUAGCUCAACAUGAGUAAAUCAGUGCUAACAAAUAAGCUAAUGUAAUUAUUAUUUUUAAAAGCCGUAAAGAAAUUUUGAUAUUUGUUGGCUUAUGUACUUUUUUUUUUUUUUUUUUUUUUGCAGUGUUUGGUUUCUGGUAAGGGCUCUCUUCCUGGCUUGCAGACUACCACUGUGUCCACCCAUAGCCCUACGCCUGUGUGUGCAUCAGAGUGAGAAAGAAAUAAGAAAAUCAAAAGAAAAAAGGAUCAGAAGCCAAAAUGAUGAUGUUUCAUCAACAGGACUAUCUAUCACACCUAAAGGUAAAUUGAAAUAACCCACUGAUAUAAAAAAAUAUGUGUGUGUGUGAGUAUGUGUGUGUAUGUGUGUGGGGGGGUGGAGGAGGAGGGGGUGUGUUUACAAAUAAGUUAUCUCCUCUUUGACACAAAUUGGCUCUUCUAGCCAAACCAGUAAAAAUGUCAAGGCCAGAAAAUCAGUGUCAACUUGUUGACUGGCAUCAAUGUUUGAAGUGUGACACGAAAACAAGAAACUCUGUGAUGGUUUCAUGGCAUUUAUUAAUAAAGAUGGCUUUUGAUUAAGGCACAUUCUCCACAGACAUAGCUAACCUAGAGCAAAACCUGGAGGUAAGCAAACUGUCUCACUUGAGUCCUUCAGUGCCUGUUCAGAAACUCUCCUGCCUUCACUCCUUCCUAUGGAGAUCUUAUAUUCUCCCCAAAAGCCCAGGCGUUCUGCUACCUGACCUUUCUUUCUUUCUAGGAGGACAAGCCUCCCAGGUCUGCAGAUCUGAAAGGAAUUCCUAAAUCAUUCAAAUGCCUAAGAGGCAUUUGUAGAAAUGUAAAAGGUGUGCCUCCUUAGAUAUUCUGAUUCUUCCCUAAAUCUGGGUUGAGGCCCCAGAGUCUGUAUGCUUAACAAUCACCCCCAGGGGCUUGAGAUGAUCAGCCAAAUUUGGAAACCAGC